GUUCUAUCUGUGAAGUGGGGUCCUCUAUGUUUGAUUUUGUUGUAGUAAUGUCCAAGAAAAGGUGUUACUCUGUGACGAUGUCCAGAUAAGACUACUGGUUCCUUUUCACUUAUAUUCAAGUCAGAUUUGGCAAUACUGCUUCCUUCUCGUAGUAGACGUUGCUCAUGCAAGGGCAGAUUGAGAUUGGCAAUAGGUCCUUCUUUCGGAAUAGGUUUGUGAAUGCUAUUGAUUUCCUCUCCAUGAACUUUAGGUUCUGUUGAUUUCGGAUUGAAACUUUCUUUAUCUAUAGAUUUUUCUAUAGAAGUCACAGAU
Molecule: long non-coding RNA, 312 nt
Filed under: Mytilus galloprovincialis (Mediterranean mussel)
Lineage: Eukaryota; Metazoa; Mollusca; Bivalvia; Mytilida; Mytilidae
Source: RNAcentral